CAUGGGAAGCCGAAGAAGGGCGCGGCAAGCUGCGAUAAGCCCCGGGGAGGCGCAAACGGCCUUCGAUCCGGGGAUUCCCGAAUGGGGGAACCCAGCAGGGGUCAUGCCCUGCUACCCGCACCCGAAUACAUACGGUGCGAGGAGGCAACCGGGGGAACUGAAACAUCUAAGUACCCCGAGGAAAGGAAAUCAACCGAGACUCCGGGAGUAGCGGCGAGCGAAACCGGACCAGAGCCCAAACCCGCGCACGUGCAAGCGACAGGGCGUUGCUGCGCGGGGGUUGCGGGGCGAGCCAUCCCGAGAGCCUGCUCUCUCGGGCGGAGUUACAAAGCGUCAUGGAAGCGGAACGGCAUGGGAAGGCCGGCCGCAGCGGGUGAGAGCCCCGUACGCGGAUCCAUGGCGCCUCCGAGGCGCGUCCCCGAGUAGGGCCGGGCACGUGAAACCCGGUCCGAAGCAGGGGGGACCACCCUCCAAGGCUGAGCACUCUCCCAUGACCGAUAGCGAACAAGUACCGUGAGGGAAAGGUGAAAAGCACCCCGAGAGGGGAGUGAAAGAGCACCUGAAACCGUGCGCCCCCAAGCAGCCGGAGCACCCUCUGCGGUGUGACGGCGUGCCUUUUGUAGAAUGAGCCAGCGAGUUGCGUCCGGCGGCGAGGUUCAGCUCAGAAGCGAGCCGCAGCGAAGGCGAGUCAUUAAGACGGCGAUUGAGUCGCCGGGCGCAGACGCGAAGCCGGGUGAGCUAUCCAUGGGCAGGCUGAAGCAGGGGUAAGACCCUGUGGAGGGCCGAACCCACUUCGGUUGAAAACGGAGGGGAUGACCCGUGGAUAGGGGUGA
This 833-nucleotide ribosomal RNA is filed under the name Ellagibacter isourolithinifaciens. Its description in RNAcentral is "Bacterial large subunit ribosomal RNA". It matches the Rfam family "Bacterial large subunit ribosomal RNA", at positions 37 to 824 of the family's 2925-position model. The record is from Rfam by way of RNAcentral. Lineage: Bacteria; Bacillati; Actinomycetota; Coriobacteriia; Eggerthellales; Eggerthellaceae.